UUAAGCUCGAUGAAGUCGUCGG
This 22-nucleotide microRNA is filed under the name Apis mellifera (honey bee). Its description in RNAcentral is "ame-miR-9868-3p". The record is from miRBase by way of RNAcentral. Lineage: Eukaryota; Metazoa; Arthropoda; Insecta; Hymenoptera; Apidae.